GACGAUCGGCGAUGGAGGAGUCUCCGCGAUCUCGUCGACUCCAAUCCCGAGAACCGGGAGGCCGAGAUUCAGCCUUCCGCUUCCUCUCGCGUUUGGAAUCGGAUCUUCCCGAAUUUCUGUUCUUUGUUUCUAUAAUCCAAUCUUUUGAGCUAAGAGAAAGAGUAAAGUAUCCCUUCCUUGUUGAUUCUCUGCAGUGUAGGAUGGAAUCGGAGCGUCGAAAGAGGUUGAGGGAAGGUUCGCAGCUUCUGAUAAGAGGGCUCGACUCCAUCUCUUCCUGUUUGUCCCAUCUUUCCAGCACUCUAACGACCACGCGGCAGGUAAAUUAUGAAUAUUGCGUUUCUGGGAGGAAUCGUUCUUCAGAUGGAAAUUCUAUCAUUUUCCCGAUCUUUUUUACGUUCUCUGGCGUUAAAUUUCUUACAGAAGAAUACUUGUAUGCUAUUUAACAAUUGAUACUCUUUAAAAUAUCUUACUGAUUUGACAUUCCGUUAUAUCUUUUUCUUCUGCUCCACUUGCAAUCGGAGUUGAUCCUCUCAACAUGUACAUCGAGUAUUCCACCAUUCAGCAUCUUUCUCAACUCGAAAA
RNAcentral lists this long non-coding RNA (582 nucleotides) under Musa acuminata (dwarf banana). RNAcentral's name for it is "long non-coding RNA (MACU_LNC006339)". The record is from RNAcentral. Lineage: Eukaryota; Viridiplantae; Streptophyta; Magnoliopsida; Zingiberales; Musaceae.